GCNCUANCGNUCUGGGNCACUCNCUCUANAACAUGCAAGUCGAACGAUGAAGCCCUUCGGGGUGGAUUAGUGGCGAACGGGUGAGUAACACGUGGGCAAUCUGCCCUUCACUCUGGGACAAGCCCUGGAAACGGGGUCUAAUACCGGAUAACACCUGCCCGGGCAUCUGGGUGGGUUAAAAGCUCCGGCGGUGAAGGAUGAGCCCGCGGCCUAUCAGCUUGUUGGUGAGGUAGUGGCUCACCAAGGCGACGACGGGUAGCCGGCCUGAGAGGGCGACCGGCCACACUGGGACUGAGACACGGCCCAGACUCCUACGGGAGGCAGCAGUGGGGAAUAUUGCACAAUGGGCGAAAGCCUGAUGCAGCGACGCCGCGUGAGGGAUGACGGCCUUCGGGUUGUAAACCUCUUUCAGCAGGGAAGAAGCGAAAGUGACGGUACCUGCAGAAGAAGCGCCGGCUAACUACGUGCCAGCAGCCGCGGUAAUACGUAGGGCGCAAGCGUUGUCCGGAAUUAUUGGGCGUAAAGAGCUCGUAGGCGGCUUGUCACGUCGGGUGUGAAAGCCCGGGGCUUAACCCCGGGUCUGCAUUCGAUACGGGCUAGCUAGAGUGUGGUAGGGGAGAUCGGAAUUCCUGGUGUAGCGGUGAAAUGCGCAGAUAUCAGGAGGAACACCGGUGGCGAAGGCGGAUCUCUGGGCCAUUACUGACGCUGAGGAGCGAAAGCGUGGGGAGCGAACAGGAUUAGAUACCCUGGUAGUCCACGCCGUAAACGGUGGGAACUAGGUGUUGGCGACAUUCCACGUCGUCGGUGCCGCANCUAACGCAUUAAGUUCCCCGCCUGGGGAGUACGGCCGCANGGUUAAACUCAANGNAUUGACGGGGGCCCNCACAANCAACGGAACUGUGGGUUAA
RNAcentral lists this ribosomal RNA (908 nucleotides) under Streptomyces sp. LK1112.1. Its description in RNAcentral is "bacterial SSU rRNA". It matches the Rfam family "Bacterial small subunit ribosomal RNA", at positions 26 to 949 of the family's 1533-position model. The record is from RNAcentral. Lineage: Bacteria; Bacillati; Actinomycetota; Actinomycetes; Kitasatosporales; Streptomycetaceae.